RNAcentral lists this ribosomal RNA (50 nucleotides) under Pulmonaria officinalis. RNAcentral describes it as "partial 5.8S ribosomal RNA". It matches the Rfam family "5.8S ribosomal RNA", at positions 1 to 50 of the family's 154-position model. From Rfam's summary of the family: 5.8S ribosomal RNA (5.8S rRNA) is a component of the large subunit of the eukaryotic ribosome. It is transcribed by RNA polymerase I as part of the 45S precursor that also contains 18S and 28S rRNA. The record is from RNAcentral. RNAcentral also lists the same sequence under 2 other names. Lineage: Eukaryota; Viridiplantae; Streptophyta; Magnoliopsida; Boraginales; Boraginaceae.
GACUCUCGACAACGGAUAUCUCGGCUCUCGCAUCGAUGAAGAACGCAGCA